RNAcentral lists this ribosomal RNA (434 nucleotides) under uncultured bacterium. Its description in RNAcentral is "bacterial SSU rRNA". It matches the Rfam family "Bacterial small subunit ribosomal RNA", at positions 958 to 1392 of the family's 1533-position model. The record is from RNAcentral.
AACGCGAAGAACCUUACCUGCCCUUGACAUCCCGGUGACCGCAGAGUAAUGUCUGCUUUCCUUCGGGACACCGGAGACAGGUGGUGCAUGGUUGUCGUCAGCUCGUGUCGUGAGAUGUUGGGUUAAGUCCCGCAACGAGCGCAACCCUUAUCUUCAGUAGCCAGCGGUUUGGCCGGGCACUCUGGAGAGACUGCCAGGGAUAACCUGGAGGAAGGUGGGGAUGACGUCAAAUCAUCAUGCCCCUUAUGGGCAGGGCUACACACGUGCUACAAUGGCGUAAACAAAGGGAGGCAAUACUGCGAGGUUGAGCAAAUCCCAAAAAUAACGUCUCAGUUCGGAUUGUAGUCUGCAACUCGACUACAUGAAGCUGGAAUCGCUAGUAAUCGCGAAUCAGAAUGUCGCGGUGAAUACGUUCCCGGGUCUUGUACACACCG